RNAcentral lists this ribosomal RNA (163 nucleotides) under Phycisphaerae bacterium. RNAcentral's name for it is "partial 23S ribosomal RNA". It matches the Rfam family "Bacterial large subunit ribosomal RNA", at positions 2759 to 2925 of the family's 2925-position model. The record is from RNAcentral. Lineage: Bacteria; Pseudomonadati; Planctomycetota; Phycisphaerae.
CAGGGAUAACCGCUGAAAGCAUCUAAGCGGGAAGCCCCCCCAGAGAUAAGAUCUGGUUGCGAAAGCGAAAGACCCCUGGAAGACUACCAGGUUGAUAGGCCGCGUGUGUAAGGACAGAGAUGUCUUCAGCAGAGCGGUACUAACGGUCGAACGUUUGAUCGCU